RNAcentral lists this ribosomal RNA (497 nucleotides) under uncultured bacterium. Its description in RNAcentral is "partial 16S ribosomal RNA". It matches the Rfam family "Bacterial small subunit ribosomal RNA", at positions 28 to 507 of the family's 1533-position model. The record is from RNAcentral.
GAUGAACGCUGGCGGCGUGCCUAAUACAUGCAAGUCGAACGAAAAGACGAGGAGCUUGCUCCUCUGACGUUAGCGGCGGACGGGUGAGUAACAUGUGGAUAACCCACCUAUAAGACUGGGAUAACUACGGGAAACCGGAGCUAAUACCGGAUAAGAUAUUGAACCGCAUGGUUCAAUAGAGAAAGUCGGUUGUGCUGUAACUUAUAGCUGUAUCCGCGCCGCAUUAGCUAGUUGGUAAGGUAACGGCUUACGAAGGCAACGAUGCGUAGCCGACCUGAGAGGGUGAUGGGCCACACUGGAGGUGAGACGCGGUCCAGGCUCCUACGGGAGGCAGCAGUAGCGAAUCGUCGGCAAUGGGCGAAAGCCUGACGGAGCGACGGCGCGUGAGUGAUGAAGGUCCUCGGAUCGGAAAACUCUGUUAUUAGGGAAGAACGAAUGUGUAAGUAACUAAGCACGUCGUGACGGUACCUGAUCAGGAAGCAACGGCUAACUACGUG